This 5137-nucleotide long non-coding RNA is filed under the name Sus scrofa (pig). RNAcentral describes it as "lncRNA (ENSSSCG00000061144.1)". The record is from RNAcentral. Lineage: Eukaryota; Metazoa; Chordata; Mammalia; Artiodactyla; Suidae.
AAGAGAGGGCAGAAUAAGAGGGAGGGAGGAAUAGCCAUCUGUAUCAGCUUCCUAUUUGCUGCUAUUGCAAGUUGCCACAAAACUGGGGGCAUUAAACAACACAUUUUUAUUGUCUUAUAGUUCUCAGGUUAGAAGUCUGACAGGGGCCUCACUAGGCUAAAAUAAAACAUCAGCAGGGCCGCAUUCCUUUCUGGAGGUUCUAGGGGAGAGUCUAUUUCCUGCCUUUUCCAAUUCCUGGACAAUGUCUGCCUUCUUCAGCUCAAGGCUCUUUCUUCCAUCUUCAAAACUGGCAGUAUUGUGUCUCUCUUACUCUCCCUCUGUCAUCAGCUAUUUCUGACCACAACUGGGAGUUCUCUGCCUUUAAGGACCCAUGUGAUUAAAUUAGGCCUACCCAGACCUAAAUAACCCAACUAGGUCUCAAAGUCCUUAACUUAAAUCACAUUUUCCUCUUAGUGAACCUAACUGUAUAGGUUAUAGUUAUUGAAAUAACAUAUUCAGAGGUUUCAAGUAUUAGAGUGUAAACAUCUUCUGCCCACCGUACUACCUCAAAGCACGUUCUUCCAAAUGACACUUUCCCAAUCAUCUCUCUGCCGUGAUGUUACUAUGGUUAUCUUUAUAUUAUGAAAAGAUGUUAGACAAGGCCAUGUGACUAAACAACCAUGAAACCUCUGUAUAAGGUAUGAGUCUCUUUUCCCACCAUACCAGUAUGUAGGCUUGCUACCCAAGGAUACCUUGUGCUUCUCUGCAGGCAGUAUACUGCCCAAGUGCAAAGGAUGCCCUGAAGUUGCUCAGUCCCUAAACUACAAAAGCUUACAAGGCAGUCCUGCCCCCUGUAUCCCAGGCACCUGAGGUCAGAAUUUGUCUACACCUCCAGCUAUUGCUCAUGAUUAAGUUGAAUCUUUGGAAAUACUUUCUUUAGCUUGCAUUGUUCAUAAAACAGUAUGCCCACAUUAAUGCCUUAUGAUAAAAUUAAUCACCCUGGUGAAUUCAAUCAACCUGUAGGGGAAAAUAAAUUCGAAAAAAUAUACCUUAAUAGCUAUGGAAUAAGACCACUUGUAUAGCAAGAAGCUUAAAAAUCAACUCCAGUCAUUCAACUUUGUGCCCACACAGUGUCACUUCCACAGUAAGAUUAAGGAACCCAGAACCCAGAACUAUAGGAGGGAGGGGAAAUGGGGAAAAGCUGAUUUGUGGCACUGGGCAAGAAAGCAGGGAAUGGAGUAAAGAGAAGCUAAAGGAACUCUCACAGGAAUACUUUUCUGUUGCACCUGAAGCCCAAUGAGAAAGGUUUCAAAUAUGAAUCACUGACAACCGCCUGCGAGGCUGUUAUGCGUAAUCCUUCACAUUCUGAGUAUGUCAUGGUACUCCAUAAAAAAGCUUAUUGUAUAAGCUGUUCUCACUCUCCUAAGCUCAUUCUCUUCAACAAUGCCAGAAAUAUAAUAACAGGUAAGCAACCAAGAAAAUAAGUGACUAACCAUUGUAUAAGAUUGCAUUUUGCUAAAGGUCAAGACAAAUUAUCAUGAAAUCCUUAAAGAUGCUGUUACAUGGUUGCUGGGGACAAAAGGUUUCCUUCCAGGAGAGCUUCUUAGAAGUAGACGCUGCUGUGUUUCAAUCCUCAGCUAACUUUUAGUUAAUGACUCUUGCCUUUUCUCCUCCCAGCUCUGCUUAUUAAAAGGAGAAUGCAAUCUGGAGUGUGUGCUGUCAGGAUGAACAGCAGGGUCAGUCACUAAUCCCAAAUUGUAUGCCCCCAGGAUGCCUGCUACAGAAUGAGGAAAUGCUUACGUUUGAUUAACCUUCCAGUGAGAGAAAGGGAGGCAUCCAGGGGUCUGUAGCUACAUGACAUGGUAUAAUAAUAGUUUUAAAAUAUGGCAUUCCUAGGGGAUGCAAGAAAAGUCACAGCACAGGGUGCUAACUUGGUGUAACGAAUGAAGAUUUCAUCUCUACAAUAGCAAGCAAGCCUUUGGGGGAAGAACAUCGCCAACUUGGGCAUUCAUUUUCUUCAAAAUAUUUAUAACAAUACAAUAAUCCCUUAUGUCUGUGUGAUGCUCUACAGAGUGCACAAUACUUCAAGGGCUUAACCCCAUUUGAUCUUCACCACUAUCCUGUGUGUCAAAGGGUUAGAAUCAAGGGGCACUUUCCCAAUUAAAAAAAAAAAUCCUCCUCGUUAGUGUCAAUGCACUUGGUUCUCGUUCUGGCCUUUUCUUUAACAAUUUCUUUAGCAAAAAGGGAAGAAACAUCAUUGAGUGAGGAAGGGGGAUUAUUGGGGUGGUUAGGGGAUAGGUAAAACCAUGCAGUUUGGAAAAGACAUCUCCUAAAAACAGGUUCAAGAAAGUAAAACGUCACUUCUAUUUCUGGGGCUCCAAGUACAAUAAGAAAAAAAAAAAUAUCAGGUUUAUGAAAAUAGUUUAAUCCUGUUGUUUAAUAUAGCAUUAUUUAGUUAUUAAGUCAAAAGCUGAAAUUUAAUAUUUUUGUGAAUAGAAAGCUGGGCCACUGCCCCUGUCCCCAGACACCCAGCAAUAGAUGCUUCCCUCAGUGUGCUACUACGAGAUGACAGCAGACUAAUCAGAGGCAGCUCUUCAAUCUCUCAAAAAAAUGUGCCUUUGUAUUUAUUACCCUUCAGUCCUUGACUCCAAGUCCAUAUAUUGAACAAAGUCCUACUGCCUUCAAGACCCAGGCAGAUAGAUACCAUAUUCACCAUGAGGUCUUCCCAACAGCAUCUUUUUUUCUGUGUAUUCUAGUGGGUCAAUUAUGACUACCUUGUUAUAAAUCAGAUGUAUGCUCUACAUGCUCUCUUUCCUAUUCAACGAUGAGUUCAGAGUAGUCAGGGAUGGAGUAAAACACCUAGCAUUUUGUAAGUACUCAUUUUAUGUUUGCUAAAUAAAUUGUCAAAUGGAAAAAAGAAAGCAAGAAGAGUUACCAUAAAAUAAUCAAGCCCAGUGACACCAGGUUUGAUCAAGUACAUGUUGGGAAACCUAUGAAAUACAUGUUUAUACUGAGCAGUUUUCAUAUACUGACUCUUUAACCCAAGAAUUGUCAUCAUUAUCUUUCAACAUGGUCAUUUUACUGCAGAUGUGAUGUAGAUGACUGAGGUAAUGCAUAUUUUUAUAACUGUUUAUUCCAGCCAGUUGUACCUGAUUUAUAAGAACUUCUUCAUUCUGAGUAAAAUCUGGUGAGAGGAAGAGCAGCUUAAAGUCUGCAGUUUCCUCUCCUGCCUCAUGUCCCACAGGUUAAUACCAACAAGGUGUAUUUCCCAGUAAUUCCUUUCUACUGUAAAGUCGAAAGCACCUUGGGUCUUCCACAACUGGGCUCCUUAAACCAGUGAUGCUUUGAAUUCUUACCCACUUACUAGUAUGUCUUAAACCUGUGACAACAGAUGAAAAUCCACUCUUAUAAUUUAGUUCAGUCAGUUCAGGCACACACUGUUUAAAACCACCCUUAGUCAGAGAAAGAAUAAAGAAGGCACGUUAUUGAUAUUGGAUUCAAUUUUCCAAACCUAAUGAACAAAAGUGUCUGUGAUUACAAACCAAAUAUUCAUGCAAAAUCUAGUAGGAAUCUGUCUUUCUACAGAAAAUUUCAAAUUCCUUUGUGUCAUAACUUUAGUUUAAUAAAUAUGCUCAAGUAGACUUCAUUGCAGACAGAAAGCAACUGCGAUAAGAAAUAGUAAGGGGCACUUUUGCUUGAGUUGAGGUUGUACAAUUUCAAAUGGAAAUACAGCAUGAAUUCUUUGGAAAGGAGAACUUGCUGGAAUGUUAACUUUUUGGUCAUCAGAGGGCAUUUCUGGACAUUUGUCUUUAUCUCUAAUUUUCUGCACAGCUAUCUGUUACCCUGAUAACAGUUUGUUGUAUGGCUGCUCUCCAUUACCCAGUGCUAUAGUUUUAUGAGCCAUGCAGAGAAAGUGGAGGAGCCUCCUCGGGAGUGUUAUUUUGUUGUUGUUGGUUUUCAAAGGAAUUCAAACCUUUGUUCAGGCAAAGUGGGAAGGGGGGUGUUUUAUUAUUGGUUAGCCCCAAAAUGCAGCAGUUGACUGGAUUCAAGCCAUGUCUUAAGUUUUCAAGAGAUGAUUUGUUUUAAAGCGGUCUUAGCUAUUCAAAUAACUAUGAAAUGUUUAUGACUUAUUUCUCAAAAGGAAAGGGGAAAAUAUUAAGCAUGUGGAAGAGUAUUGUUCCCUUCCUUUAAAAAAAAAGGCCUUGAAAUAUAUUUUAAAAUAUUUUAUGAGGUCACACUGAAAAAAGAGUAAUUGGAAGAAAAAUUCUGCUUGUCUAAGCGAAGAGCACAUUUGUAGCGGUAGGGUAAAUGUUUUAUCGAUUGAGAAGCUGGGAAACUCAAGUCAUUACUCACCAUGGGCUAAAGAAUAAUUGCUAAUGCUCUGGCGGAAAGAUUAAAAACAGUUUCUGGAAGUAUUUCUUACAAUGAUCAAUGGUGUAUCAUCCCAGGCCAUUGGAUCUUCAAUAACAUUUUUCCCUUUUGGGAUACAAUCAAUUUUUAUAAUAUGACUCAUUUGCCAGUGGGCAUGCUUUCUUCAUACGAUGAAAAGGCACUUAUGCAUCUUAUAUUGUUGAAAAGUUAUCUUAUACAGCCAGAGAUCAGGCUGCGGUAUAGAAGACUCACUGGAAUCCAUCUCUAUUUUAAAAGGUUUGGGAAAUCAUCUGGGGUGGGGAAAUGAGGGGGUGGAGGAGACAGUUGUUAGCCUCUUGGUUAUUGCUUUGUUAACCCUUUGAGAAUGCAUUUAGCACACUCUAACAGCAGUCAAGAUCAUCAUAAUACAAGGGUGGUGACUGAGGGUGCUAUUUUAGAUUUAAGCAUAUGCCACAGUGAGCUUGACUCAUCUGCAACACUAAUUACCCUCGCAGAGCUCUUAGGUCAAGGGUUGCCUUACAGCUGUCUACUGGCUGUACAUAUCUGACAAGGUCUCAGCAUCCUGUGGCAGAGCUCAGCUUUGGUCCGCUACUGCUGAAUCUAUCAGUUUAUCUCUGCUUUAAUAAAUAACAGCUUCAGUCAGGAGAGGAUGUGCUUAUUCCAAAAUUUCUCACAGGAGAGAAAGUGCUGAAAGCUUGGGCACAGGACGUUUCAGGUUCCACUUUGCCAUUGGACUUGAGUUAAGGGAAAUGCAUGGCCCCAUCACCAGGAUCUGCCAAAUGUAGAG